AUGAAUCACUGGUCCUUCGAUCUACAGGAUGCCACAUGGUCGGAAACAACUUCCGACUUUAAACUUGCUUGGUCAUCAAGCAAUGGCGACUAUGUUCAACUAUUUGGCAAACCUGCCAUGAAUGACAGAUUCCUUCAGAUUAAAGCUUUCAAGAUCAGGUUAAUCGAAAACUACAAUGACACCACGCACCACUACUUGUAUACCAUACACACCACAUUAGACAUUCGUAAAAGAAACACCCACAAGGCAAGAAUGGAACCUGACUCCACAGCAUCAACUGUUUUCCCAAAGGGGCCGUCAAUUACCCCGUCAGAGGUGCCCUUGCAUUCGUCAACAAAGGACAAGAUAUUUGCCAUCCUGCGAGACCCAGCUUACCGCAUGGCGUUAGCUUGA
This 393-nucleotide ribosomal RNA is filed under the name Triticum aestivum (bread wheat). RNAcentral's name for it is "partial small subunit ribosomal RNA". Lineage: Eukaryota; Viridiplantae; Streptophyta; Magnoliopsida; Poales; Poaceae. The record is from RNAcentral.